RNAcentral lists this ribosomal RNA (301 nucleotides) under uncultured bacterium. Its description in RNAcentral is "partial 16S ribosomal RNA". It matches the Rfam family "Bacterial small subunit ribosomal RNA", at positions 509 to 807 of the family's 1533-position model. The record is from RNAcentral.
CAGCCGCCGCGGGAAUACGUAGGGUGCAAGCGUUAAUCGGAAUUACUGGGCGUAAAGCGUGCGCAGGCGGUUAUAUAAGACAGAUGUGAAAUCCCCGGGCUCAACCUGGGAACUGCAUUUGUGACUGUAUAGCUAGAGUACGGCAGAGGGGGAUGGAAUUCCGCGUGUAGCAGUGAAAUGCGUAGAUAUGCGGAGGAACACCGAUGGCGAAGGCAAUCCCCUGGGCCUGUACUGACGCUCAUGCACGAAAGCGUGGGGAGCAAACAGGAUUAGAUACCCGUGUAGUCCCUGUCUCUUAUAC